This 424-nucleotide ribosomal RNA is filed under the name Verrucomicrobiota bacterium. Its description in RNAcentral is "Verrucomicrobia bacterium partial 16S ribosomal RNA". It matches the Rfam family "Bacterial small subunit ribosomal RNA", at positions 355 to 776 of the family's 1533-position model. Lineage: Bacteria; Pseudomonadati; Verrucomicrobiota. The record is from RNAcentral.
UGAGGAAUAUUGGUCAAUGGACGCAAGUCUGAACCAGCCAAGUAGCGUGCAGGAUGACGGCCCUAUGGGUUGUAAACUGCUUUUAUAUGGGGAUAAAGUGGGGAACGUGUUCCCUUUUGCAGGUACCAUUCGAAUAAGGACCGGCUAAUUCCGUGCCAGCAGCCGCGGUAAUACGGAAGGUCCGGGCGUUAUCCGGAUUUAUUGGGUUUAAAGGGAGCGUAGGCCGCGUUUUAAGCGUGUUGUGAAAUGUAGACGCCCAACGUCUGCAUCGCAGCGCGAACUGGGACGCUUGAGUACGCGCAACGUUGGCGGAAUUCGUCGUGUAGCGGUGAAAUGCUUAGAUAUGACGAGGAACUCCGAUUGCGAAGGCAGCUGACGGGAGCGGCACUGACGCUUAAGCUCGAAGGUGCGGGUAUCAAACAGG